AAGGAUAUAUUCGGAAACAUCUUCUUACGAAGAUGAAAUAGGAAUAACAUUGACAUAUUGUAUUCAGUUUUGAGUGCUCAUUAGAGUAUUCAUUGCAUUGUUUUGUACAUUGAAAACUAGAUAAGUAAGUAAAAUUUAUGAUUUUACCAAGCAAAACCGAGUGAAUUAGAGUUUUUUAACAAGCUUUGAAUUCAAAAAGAAAUAAUCGCUAGUGUUCGAAAGAACACUCACAGAUUAAUAACAUUUUGGGUUUUYAACCGACUUGUUCGUGUUGAAAGUCAAAAAA
This 286-nucleotide unclassified non-coding RNA is filed under the name Staphylococcus xylosus. RNAcentral describes it as "16S-23S ribosomal RNA intergenic spacer". Lineage: Bacteria; Bacillati; Bacillota; Bacilli; Caryophanales; Staphylococcaceae. The record is from RNAcentral.